This 75-nucleotide transfer RNA is filed under the name Rattus norvegicus (Norway rat). It matches the Rfam family "tRNA". From Rfam's summary of the family: Transfer RNA (tRNA) molecules are approximately 80 nucleotides in length. Their secondary structure includes four short double-helical elements and three loops (D, anti-codon, and T loops). Further hydrogen bonds mediate the characteristic L-shaped molecular structure. tRNAs have two regions of fundamental functional importance: the anti-codon, which is responsible for specific mRNA codon recognition, and the 3' end, to which the tRNAs corresponding amino acid is attached (by aminoacyl-tRNA synthetases). tRNAs cope with the degeneracy of the genetic code in two manners: having more than one tRNA (with a specific anti-codon) for a particular amino acid; and 'wobble' base-pairing, i.e. permitting non-standard base-pairing at the 3rd anti-codon position. The record is from Rfam by way of RNAcentral. Lineage: Eukaryota; Metazoa; Chordata; Mammalia; Rodentia; Muridae.
GGGGAUUUAGCUCAGUGGUAGAGCGCUUGCCUAGCUAGCGCAAGCGCAAGGCCCUGGGUUCGGUCCCCAGCUCCG